This 296-nucleotide unclassified non-coding RNA is filed under the name Hevea brasiliensis (rubber tree). Lineage: Eukaryota; Viridiplantae; Streptophyta; Magnoliopsida; Malpighiales; Euphorbiaceae. The record is from RNAcentral.
GUUGUCGAGAAACAUACCUACACUGCCGAAGCCGCUUCAAUAGCACUGCCCAAAGGCCACGCUGCCUCCACAAAGGCAUUGCCAUACUUAACCUGCUUCACCAGGGUAAUCACCUGCCACGGCUCCAAGGCGAACCCAUCCACAAGCAGUGUGUACUGGUAGACAAGAUCCAUGCAGAGAUACGGAAUGUUGUCCUCAGAGACAUUAGGAUAGGCGGUCUUGAGAUCCUCGACAUUCGAUCUGCAGAUGCGCUUGGCAGCCUCCUCAAAGUCUGCAGGUUUGACCUUAGCAACCGG